This 342-nucleotide ribosomal RNA is filed under the name uncultured soil bacterium. Its description in RNAcentral is "bacterial SSU rRNA". It matches the Rfam family "Bacterial small subunit ribosomal RNA", at positions 27 to 371 of the family's 1533-position model. The record is from RNAcentral.
GGAUUGAACGCUGGCGGCAGGCCUAACACAUGCAAGUCGAGCGGUAGAGAGGUGCUUGCAUCUCUUGAGAGCGGCGGACGGGUGAGUAAUGCCUAGGAAUCUGCCUAGUGGUGGGGGAUAACGUUCGGAAACGGACGCUAAUACCGCAUACGUCCUACGGGAGAAAGCGGGGGACCUUCGGGCCUCGCGCCAUUAGAUGAGCCUAGGUCGGAUUAGCUAGUUGGUGAGGUAAUGGCUCACCAAGGCGACGAUCCGUAACUGGUCUGAGAGGAUGAUCAGUCACACUGGAACUGAGACACGGUCCAGACUCCUACGGAGGCAGCAGUGGGGAAUAUUGGACAA